RNAcentral lists this ribosomal RNA (432 nucleotides) under uncultured bacterium. RNAcentral's name for it is "partial 16S ribosomal RNA". It matches the Rfam family "Bacterial small subunit ribosomal RNA", at positions 29 to 507 of the family's 1533-position model. The record is from RNAcentral.
ACGCACGCUGGCGGCAUGCCUCACCCCUGCCAGUCGCACGAGACCUUCGGGUCUAGUGGCGCACGGGUGUGUAACGCGUGGGAACCUGCCCUUAGGUUCGGAAUAACUCCCCGAAAGGGGUGCUAAUACCGGAUAAUGUCUUCGGACCAAAGAUUUAUCGCCUUUGGAUGGGCCCGCGUUGGAUUAGCUAGUUGGUAGGGUAAAAGCCUACCAAGGCGACGAUCCAUAGCUGGUCUGAGAGGAUGAUCAGCCACACUGGGACUGAGACACGGCCCAGACUCCUACGGGAGGCAGCAGUGGGGAAUAUUGGACAAUGGGCGAAAGCCUGAUCCAGCAAUGCCGCGUGAGUGAUGAAGGCCUUAGGGUUGUAAAGCUCUUUUACCCGGGAUGAUAAUGACAGUACCGGGAGAAUAAGCUCCGGCUAACUCCGUG